Molecule: RNA transcript, 2099 nt
Organism: Daucus carota subsp. sativus
Lineage: Eukaryota; Viridiplantae; Streptophyta; Magnoliopsida; Apiales; Apiaceae
Exons: 3
Source: RefSeq, a predicted model, not a curated record
AUGCAGAAGAUUUGUUUUUAGGGUUUGGGAGUGGGUUUAAGACGCUGCACAUAUAACCUACAAUACAAACUCUCGCUCUCACUUUGUAACUCAGGAUCUAUAGGAGGAAGAUGAGGCCACUAGAUGAGAAAGAAACUACCCAAGUGUUUGAGAAGCUGUUCAAUUUCACCGGAAAUAAUCUGAAGAACAUUGUGGAAGCCCCUUCUCACGAAGGCCCUGAAUCAAACCCCGGGCGAUAUUGCUUCCGCCUCAACAAGAACAGGGUAUAUUACGUUAGUGAGUCUCUUGUCAAGCGGGCCACCAACGUCAAGCGUGACAAACUCGUUUCUCUCGGUACCCAAAUUGGAAAAUUCACCAAAGGAGGAGCGUUUCAUCUGACAAUCCAGAGCUUGAAUUUGUUAGCUGCAAAUGCAAAACACAAAGUUUGGUUGAAACCCACGGCAGAAAUGUCAUUUAUGUAUGGCAACCAUGUUUUGAAAGGUGGGUUGGGGAGGAUUACUGAAAAUAUCAAUACCAAUGAUGGAGUUGUGGUCUUCUCUAUGUCGGAUAUGCCAUUAGGUUUUGGCGUUGCAGUCAAGUCCACUCAGGACUGUAGAAAAAUGGAUCCGAAUGGGAUUGUUGUAAUUCACCGAGCUGAUAUUGGGGAAUAUCUGAGGAUGGAGGACGAGCUUUGAAGUGUUUCAAAUAUCAAGGAUCAAAGGUUUUCCAGGAUUCCUAUUUAGUUUAAGUUUGGAAGUUGUAUAACAUGUUGCAGUUUUAAUAACUGAAAAUUCUAAAUUCUGUGUGAAGCAUUUUCUUUUACGUAGUAUUUACAAUUUUGAUAUAAAUGCUUAAGAUCUUGUUGAAUCCAGUGAAUGUUGUAGAGUAGAAAACUUUGCUUACAUACACCAUGAGAAAAAUUAUCGUAACAGGUUUACGUUGAGACAGACCAGGUUUACCUGGGGACACACCGUGAAGGAAAAACUCAGUGUGCUUAGUGUGAGCUUACUUGCCUGUGUUUAAAAGCAUCUACAAUGCGUGGCCUGUCGGACUAUGUAAGCUGGCCUGACCAUGUUUUUCUUCUUAUAUUGCAUUGGAGAGACUUCAUUUAUAGUGGGUGUGGAGUGACUGUGGACAGCUUGGUAGCCUCGGGCAUUUUUCUUUUUAUUUAUUUUUAUUUUUUAAUAAUGUGCGCUCUAGACUUUGUGUGACUUGGCAGUGCAUACAGUGCAUAUCUAUCAUCGCACUGUUUAGUUAGUAAUAUGCCAAAAAAUUGGGAAAUGGACCUUCACUGUUGUGGAUGCUUAACUGAUGCGACUGAAAGUCUGAAAUACACAGAUAAGGCAAGUGUGCUUUACUCUUUUUUUCACACUGGCCGUAUAUUUCAGUGUAAAUAACACUCAACGCCCAUACUAGUCCUAUUCGAGCUUUCUGAGAAACUGGCGAAAAACAACAUAUUAUCAACAGAGAGAUUACAUAUUAUCAACAGAGAGAUUUGCAUAAUAUUCUCAGCAGAUCGAGUUGGUCUUCAUCUGGGCUUUUCACAAUGUCGGGCUGUAAUGUGGAUCUUGAAAUGAAGAAGCAGCUACUUACAAGAAAGAUUGUUGCGAAACUUAGUGGGGAACAUUCUGCAGUUGCUUAUGCCAGUGUCAAGGCAUUGGUUGAUAAGGCAGUUGUGUUGGCCCCUCGUGGAGCUGAGAAUCAUGUACCAAUUACUGAGAUUCCUGUGUGCCGUAAUAGAAACUUUGGUGACAUGACCAGGGAAGCCCGUGUGUCGAAGAGGCUCAAGGCAACAACCAAGGAUCACUUGGAGAUUCCCAAGCAUGCUGAGUUGCAUGCGCGGGAAGAAUGGUAUGACAAGGGCUCUAAGGAUGGUCUCAUGCCGGGUCGCUAGCUGACUUGUUGUAGGGAGAUCUUGAUCCUCUAGCUAAAGUCCCUGUCACUUGUAGUGGCGAAGAAAAGGCGAUGGAAUUUGAUCCCGGGACCUUGUUUCACCAUAUGUAUUCUGGCAAACUUGAUGUCUUUGAUAGGCCUUGUGCCGGGACUAAGUUGCGUCGCCUCUUUUAUUUCCUUUCAGUUUCCUGUUCCGAUGUUAUAUAUUAAGUCAUGUUUAUAGAUCA